Molecule: long non-coding RNA, 1269 nt
Filed under: Numida meleagris (helmeted guineafowl)
Lineage: Eukaryota; Metazoa; Chordata; Aves; Galliformes; Numididae
Description: lncRNA (ENSNMEG00000015209.1)
Source: RNAcentral
CAGGAGUGAUUUCUCCAAACAGAUUUAAAGAAAUAACCCUAAAUCUUAGGAUCAGGAAUUGAGUAUGAAGGGUGGGAGAAGCUUGGUCUUUAUGGUCUUUAUUUGCUUUCCUUUCUUCCUAUUUAAAAAUGCUGUCAUGUCCUGUUACUGUUGUAAUUAGGCGGUUGCGAGGAUACGAGGUGUAACGAGAAAGGCCCCCUCCCCAAAGGAAUAGGGACAAGUUGACCAAAGAAUGUACCCGUGACGCAGGGAAAAUGGCAAACUAAGAUGAUCCGAUAAGCUACCUUUUGAUAUGUCAGUAGAUGGAAAAUACUGCUUCAUGCUUCACUGCUACAUGCCUCAGCAAAAAUAUCCAAUCAGCAUUAAGGGAGUAAGCUUUAGAUGGCAAUAGUGGAUAACAAGUAUUAUAAAAGUAAUGCUAUACCUUUGAAUAAAAAAAAAAAGCUUUUCUUGCUGCUAUUGUGUGUGUGUCUGUGUGUGUGUGAGUGUGUUUUCAAGUGGUGCCGAAACCCGGGAACGUGUAUGAGUGUGUUUUCAAGUGGUGCCGAAACCCGGGAACGUAUGAAUGAAUGUGUUUUCAAGUGGUGCCGAAACCCGGGAACGUGUAUGAGUGUGUUUUCAUGUUACACAGAUCAUCUAUUUGAUAUUAAUUCACUUAUCAAGAACAUAGUCAAAUGAGUAUUACUAGCAGAAGAGGAGAUCUGAGAAUAUUUAAAGCAUAAUGCUGUGUUACAGAGACUAUUUUCAUGAUCUAUUAUGCAAAAUAGUGUAAAAUUUUCAGUAAAUGUGUAUUCAGAAAGCAAACUGUUUCCAGGCCACAGUAAAAAACAAAAGCAACAACAACAACAAAAUUCCACAGUAAAAAAAAAAAAAAAAAAGAAGAAGAACAAGGCAUUUCUAUGGAUCUGUUAUAGAAUUUGAGAAGCCUGUCCACUGAGCUGAAUCUCAAUCAGAUUGCCUAAAUGUGUGCUUUGGAUUGUUUGAGAUACUCUGUACCACUCAAGACAUUUGCAUGGCUAUGACAGGUAUAACAAAGAAUCAUGAGACACCAUGAGUUCCUCUGGAGCAGCAGCUGAUGGCCAAGGUAAAUUUUUCACUCACUCAAAACAGCAGUGUACACCCUCCUUUAGGCACCUGAAUGCUACCUUUUAUAACCUCACUUUUCCAUAUUUAUGUAUUUCUGCAAUCUUUUGUCUUAAAAAAGCAAAUAUAAAGAACAAGAAACUACCCUGCCAAUAGGAUUUUCUUAACUUUGAGUUGCGUUUUUCC